RNAcentral lists this ribosomal RNA (92 nucleotides) under Comamonas sp. CMM01. RNAcentral's name for it is "partial 23S ribosomal RNA". It matches the Rfam family "Bacterial large subunit ribosomal RNA", at positions 2843 to 2925 of the family's 2925-position model. The record is from RNAcentral. Lineage: Bacteria; Pseudomonadati; Pseudomonadota; Betaproteobacteria; Burkholderiales; Comamonadaceae.
GACCACGACGUUGAUAGGCUGGGUGUGGAAGCGCAGUAAUGCGUUAAGCUAACCAGUACUAAUUGCCCGAGCGGCUUGACCCUAUAACUUUG